This 405-nucleotide ribosomal RNA is filed under the name uncultured bacterium. RNAcentral describes it as "partial 16S ribosomal RNA". It matches the Rfam family "Bacterial small subunit ribosomal RNA", at positions 30 to 526 of the family's 1533-position model. The record is from RNAcentral.
AUUGAACGCUGGCGGCAGGCCUAACACAUGCAAGUCGAGCGAGCGGAGGACGGGUGAGGACUGUAUGGGGAUCUGCCCGUAAGAGGGGGAUAACAACUGGAAAAGACUGCUAAUACCGCCUAAAGUGCGAUGACGCAUUUGGGAUUAGCUAGUAGGUAAGGUAAUGGCUUACCUAGGCGACGAUCCCUAGCUGGUCUGAGAGGAUGAUCAGCCACACUGGGACUGAGACACGGCCCAGACUCCUACGGGAGGCAGCAGUGGGGAAUAUUGCGCAAUGGGCGCAAGCCUGAUGCAGCCAUGCCGCGUGUGUGAAGAAGGCUCUAGGAUUGUAAAGUACUUUCAGUCGGGAGGCGUUACCGACAGAGGAAGCCCCGGCUAACUCCGUGCCAGCAGCCGCGGUAAUAC